This 253-nucleotide ribosomal RNA is filed under the name uncultured microorganism. RNAcentral's name for it is "partial 16S ribosomal RNA". It matches the Rfam family "Bacterial small subunit ribosomal RNA", at positions 524 to 776 of the family's 1533-position model. The record is from RNAcentral.
UACGUAGGGGGCGAGCGUUACCCGGAAUUACUGGGCGUAAAGGGGGCGUAGGCGGCCCGGCAAGUCAAGUGUGAAAUCCGGCGGCUCAACCGCUGGGCUGCGCUUGAAACUGCCGGGCUUGAGUGCAGCAGAGGGAGACGGAAUUGCCGGUGUAGGGGUGAAAUCCGUAGAUAUCGGCAAGAACGCCGGUGGGGAAGCCGGUCUGCUGGGCCGUAACCGACGCUGAGGCACGAAAGCUAGGGGAGCGAACCGG